RNAcentral lists this long non-coding RNA (37839 nucleotides) under Vitis vinifera (wine grape). RNAcentral describes it as "long non-coding RNA (VVIN_LNC006633)". The record is from RNAcentral. Lineage: Eukaryota; Viridiplantae; Streptophyta; Magnoliopsida; Vitales; Vitaceae.
ACAUCAAGGGCUGACUCAUCAUCAAGUACGAAAACUCCAGAUAUGUCAAAAACAGAAAGGGGCCCGCGUGGGGCUGCAUCAAGGAUACGACCAAUGCCUAUAAAAUCCAUAUCAUCAGUGUAGACAUCAGGAAUAGAGUCAUCCUCAUCAGUCUCAAGUACAAAAACUCUGAACAUGUCGAAAACAGUAUGGGGCCCGUGUGGCGCUGCAUUGAAGAUAUGGCCUAUACCGAUCAUGUCCAUCUCAUCAGUGCCAUAUCCCAAAUCCAUAGGUAGGUCAUAGUCAGGGACCUCUUUGGGGAAACACAUAGAGAACAUACUAGCUCGAUCCGGUGAUGGGGGCGUGACUAUCAUGGCACCAGGUGCCUCAAUAGUCCCGGUGUCCAAAUGAAUCUGACCUAGGGCCUGCUGCAUGUCCUGAAUCUCAACUGUCUCUGAAAUGUGAACAGUCCCCUUUGUGCGAGGUGUGUGCUCUGAACCCCUAAUGAAGUAGUCGGCCAACUAGAAGGUGUAUGGGCGGAGGGGAUAAUCAAAUGGAAUGCCAGACAUGCGAGCCCUCACCCUAUCCCUGCGCAGCUGUGACAAAUAACGUGCAUCAGCCUCUGUGGGGAUGUAACCUAAUCCGUAGGGCGUGUCGUGAUCAACUAUGAAAGUAAACUCGUGGGGCCCCUGCUGGUGGCGACCCAAUCCCAUACCAGGAAAAUAAGACAUGCCUCUCAUCAUGCUGAGCACCAAAGUGUUGUUGUGCUGGUCAAAUGACAUAGGUAGCAUAUCUCUGCUGCCGUCCUCUAAGCUAACAACUUGAACCUCAUCGAACGUAAACCCGGUCAAAUGUAAGUCAUCCUCACUGUGACUGAUAUGUAAUACUGGCUCAGAUGAAAUGAUAAUAUCUCUAUCAGACUGUAUCGUGAUAAUGUGCCCCUCGUGUAUGAACUUCACCUUCUCAUGAAGGGAAGAUUGUAUAGCACCGGCCUCAUGAAUCCACGGGCGGCCAAGAAGCAGGUUAAAGGAUGACUGAAUCCUCAAAACCUGAAAUACUAUGGAGUAACUAACUGGCCCAAUCAUGACAUGUGUACUGAGUGUACCCAUAACUGUCCUCUGAGUCCCAUCAUAAGCUCUAACAAUCUGUGUAGAAGGCCCAAAAUCAUCUGGUGAAAACCCAAGCGUAAUGGUAAUAACCAAUGGACAGACUGAUUACUACCAAAAAGUGCUAUUUUGUAGACCUAAUUAUAAUGGUUUUAAGCACCUUUGAGUAGUAAUCAUAUUCAUUUAACCCAAUUAAUUCAUUAAGGUCCUUAGUAAUUGGUUUUAACCAUUUUGUGGCAAGUUUACAUGUUUAUAUCAGCUUAUGAAUCAAUUCAAGCAUGCCAAAUGAUGGAGGAGCUACUUGGACAAGUUAAAGCAAGCUUUUAGCUACACCAAAGCAAGCCAACAAAAGGAGAAAAGCAAAGAGAAGCAAAAAGAAGCAAAGAGGAAAAUAGAGGACAGCAGCUGCAGUCUUCUUUGGAACUUUUGGAGCACUUCCCGAAGUCCAUUUUCUACAUUCUAUAUACCAUUUCAAAGCUCAGGAAGUCAAGAAUCCAACGCUUCAAACCGUGUACGAUUUGGAGUUGAAAUGAGGAAGAUAUGGCCUUCGGAAGACAACUGCUCUAGGCUUGUGCGAAAAUUUCGCACAACACCUUCCAAAUUCGCACAGCCCAUGCGUGGUGCGAAUUUUCCUCUGUUUUUGCCGACUCCACAUGAGAUCUUUUCUUUUGGAUAUUUUUGUAUAAAUUUCCAUUCUUCUCCUUGUAAUCCACCAAUCAUAAGAUUUCUUAGCUAGGAAGGUUGGAAAAACUUCUCUAUUUAUAUCCCCUUGCAUCCGUUGUAACAAAUAUUGAUAUAUAGAUAUAGAAAUAUAUAAAGUUCUUUUUUUCUCUCUUCUCCGGUUCUUCCCCAUUUCUAUUUUCUUAGUAGCCAAACAUCCUUGGUGGAUGAAAUCCCCAAGGAUGAGAGGCUAAAACCUUUUAAGUUUCUCAAAGUAUGGAUGUUAUGUGAUGGCUUGGAUGCAAUCCCAUGGAAAUUUCUCGCACCCGGAAGGUAAGGUAAUCGUUUUUCAUUAAUGGUUCAUUAAUGCAAAGUUUGGUUUUUAUUUCCUUUUGACAACUUCCAACGGCCAAUACUUGAUAAGCUUUUGGAUUUCUAUCCAUUAGUUAUCUCCUACGAGCUAUUGGAAGGUGAGGUUUUCAAUUCCAAGUUUUGCAUUAAUCCGUUAGAACCAAUUUCAAUGGCCAUUGAAAGGUGAGUUUAUCACUUGGAAUGACUUUGAGUUGCCAAUAUUUGGUAAGCUUUUGGCUUUAGACCAUUAGUUAUCUCUUACGAGCCAUUCAAAGGAAGUCUAAGGUGAAUAACCAUUGAUGAAAUUCACUACCAUCUAUUUUGCCAUUUUAAAGGAUUAAAACUUGAUUUGUUAAAUCCAUACCGGUUCGGGAAGCAAGCAUCACCAUAGUUGCAACCCCAAUGCGAGGAGCCUAUCCUGAGAUUUCCAAUUUGCAUAAGAGCCAGAGCAUAGCUAUCCUAUCUUUGAGAAACUUGUUUUUACACCCUUUCAUUUUAGUCUUUAAUGUUAGCUUAGAUUAGUUUAAAUCUUUCUAAAACAUUUACAUCUUAUUUUAAAGCUAACAUCCAUAAGAAAAUCACCUAUUUUCCUGAUUUGAAUAUCACUUGUGUUUGCGAAAACCCUUCCCAGUGAACGAUCCUAGAACCACUAUGCUAUAGUAGCUUGGCUACUUUAGUAAAUAGUAUUCAAGGUAUAAAUUUUGUUGAUACGCCUUUAAAGCUAAGCUACCAUGAGUCGAAUCACAGACGUUCAGGGCAAAGCCGUUGUCCAAUAGAACAGACGGCACCCGACGACCUAAACAAGCAACAUCAAUGAAUAAGGGUCGAACAUGAUUUUAUCCCUUUGGUGGCAAGUCAUCAUUAGAAAACACUAUACAUGUAGCUCUAUCAGCUAUCAACAUGUGAAUAAGCCUCUCUGGGGUAGUAGCAGUGUCAACCCUAAUCUGGCCAAUGGCUUUAACUAAUGCAUCUCUGUGUGUACUAGAUGAGGCCAAAAGGCUCCAAAUGGAUAUGCGAGCCUGAGUAGUGCGUAGCUGGCGUAAUAUCUCAUCAUCUUCUCUCUGAACCUCCUCUCUAGCAGCUAUACCAGCAAAUGGCCUGUCAACGGGUGGAGGUUGUGCUACCCUCCCACUCCGUGUAACUAUCUGAACAUCUCUAUGAGGGGGCCUAUAUUCCUCUGGGAACAGAAUGAAGGGUGUCAUAGGUGGCACAUGCUGUAAGUAUACUGGUGAUACUAGAGGCAGCCCAUAAAUCCUGUCCGGGGUCAAACUGAAUGGCUGGGGAUCUGCUGUCUAGGUAUAUAUCCAACAAAAUCUGACUCCUCAUAUAGACUGAUCGGUUGAGGAGCCUCUCCAUCCCAACUCAUCAUAAAUAUCUCAUCCCCUGCAAACUCAAUCAAAUGUACCUCUUCCGGAGGUGGAGGUACUGCUCUAGUGUCAUGAGUAUGUAGUGGGUCUGUGGCUACACCCGGGCGCCCCAAAUCAACCAAGCCCUGAUCAAUCAAAUCCUGAAUGGCAUGUCUCAGUGCUGAACAACUGUCUGUAUCAUGGCCUGCUCUCUGAUGGUAGGCACAGUGAAGGUCUGUCCUGAAUCCUGGGGGGUAGGCUGUAGUGGUGGUCUAGGCGGUAGUGGGGCAAUCAAUCACCCCUCAACCAAUCUCUGAAAAGCUCGGCUCAGUGGCAUCCCAAGCUGUGUGAACUGUCUAACUAGCCUCGAUGGAGGUGGUGCUCUAUACUGAUGAUGGAACUGCAUAGGCGGCCUCUGGGGUGCUUGUGUAGCAUAUACCGGCUGUGGUGGUGGAUGUAGAUAAGUAGGCCCUACUGGCCUAAUGGGAGCAACUGGUUUGUACUGACCAUGUUGUAUCAUCUGAUAAGGAGUGCCUAAAAACUGACUCUGAAAAGGAGGACGACGUGAAGACCGGUGUCCUAUCAUGCCAAUAGUACCAAUAUCUGAGGGCUUGGGGCCUGAUCCCGACUUCUUCCCCUUUGAGUCUGAGGGGGAAGAAUCUGCCCAUAAACCUCUAGAUAUACCCUCCUCAAUGCCAUAGAGGGCCUGCACUAAUGAGCCAAAGUCUGUCUGAGGGAAGCCCAUGAGAUGCCUAGCAAAGCGAGGCUGAAGGCUGUGCAUAAUCAUACUGAUCUGAUCGCGCUCUGAAGGUCUAUCAAUAAUUUGUGCUAUCUUCUCCCUCCAACGGGAGAUGAAUGAAGUGACUGUCUCAUCCGGCCCCUGCUUAAGGGCCUCUAACUCCCUCCGGGAUACAUCCACUAUAGUAUUGAAAGAAUACUGUCUAAUAAACUCCUGUCCCAAAUCAGCCCAUGUCCUACGUCUCGAAGGGUCCAAUGAGGCAAACCAACGCUGAGCAGCACCACUCAAUGACAGAGGGAAUAACAUAAUCAUUUGUGUCUCAUCCAGUCUAUGCCCGCGUAUAAUAGUGCUAUAUAACUGCAAGUGAAUACGGGGGCACCCUAUCCUUGUGUAUCUCUCAAUGUCCGGCAUGCGGAACUCAACAGGCAAAGCUGCUACUGGCAUAUCAUCAUAUCCAUCCCAACCCAUAAUCCCAUCAAAAACAUGUAGUGAUCUCAUUCUCUGCUCAAUCCUAUCAAUACGAGCCUGGGUAUCAUCAACAAUUUGUGCUGGUGCCAUAACAGAAUGCGGCGUAGUCUCAGUCUGACCAUGCAACACAAAUGCUCUAGCCUGGGGAGCUGACUGAACCGGUGGUGGUGGUGGUGGUGGUGGAACUAUGUAGUCCUGCUGUAUAGUAGGUCCAAAUGGCUUAGAUGGUGGUGGUGGUGGUGGUGGUGUGGUAAAGUCAUGUAGGGUGCUCCCUGGAAUCGGCAAUGGCUGGGCCUGGUGCCCAUCAAUCCUCUGACCCAGUCCUAAGAUAGCGUCCCUAAGUGACGCCAUGGUAUCGGUAAUCUCAGCCAACUGGUCAACGGUAGCGUACUGAGGGUCCAUAUCUCUAUGAUCUGGUACCUACUCUAAUUGGCUGGGUGAAUCCGAUCCUCUAACCAAUCUAUCUCCAAUCCGGAUCCAAGCUCGGGAACCCAGGUCGAUCUCAAUCAAUAAUCCUACAAAAGGAAAGGGGUACGUCAGUCCUCGUGACUAUCAAUCCUGAAAUCAAACUAGGAACGUAUAACUAAAAUCUUCCGAGAGAAUGAACUGACAUGUGAUGUCAAUAGCUAAACUGAUAUACGGUUCCACAGGCAGGAACGAGAUUCUGACAUGGUGAUACCUCAGGGGUAAUGUGGCUCAAAAGUCAAAAAAAAAAAAAAAGGCAAGUCCUAAAAGACUAGAUGACUGUACCCACAGGGAUAUGCAACCUAAGGUCCUAACUAAAAAUCAAUCAACAAUCAAAGUGACAUGUUGGCCACGCAUGUAUCCAUGAAAUCCAGCUCAGGGUUAUACAGGUCUUCAUUACUCAGAUAUCCAUCUUUUCCAUAGUGCUCCCAAACAUCGAUAUAGCCCUUAUGCUAGACCCUAUUCCAAACCCCUAGCUUGGUCGAAGGCGAACAAUUGGGAAUGACUCCCAAGAAACACAAGCAAUCCAUGAGGAAUAGUUGACCAAGACUAGUGAUUCGAAAGUAAGGGGAUACACACGUGCCCCACAAACACAAGUAGCAAGCAAUCAUACAAGGGAAGGAGCAGUCAUACAGCAAAUAGUCAUGCACAAAGAGAUAGCCUACCACACAUCUACACACAAUCUAAUCAUCUAAGUCUAAUCCCAAGUGUCAUAGCUAGAUACCAAUCAACAAUGAGCAAGCAUGCUAGAAUCCAACAGGUGAACGCACAAGCAACAACACAUCACAGGUGCAAGCCAAAAACCAGCCAACUAUGUGAUCAUCAGUCAUCUAUGCAGCCUAAGAGUCUACUUAUCAAUGAACCAUGUGCUCCGAUAUACCCAACUCAAGUUCAAGCUUGAUCCUCUUAUGAAACCAGAGAUUCUAGGUUCGAUCCCCAGUGGAGUCGCCAAUUUGUGGACCCUCACCCGAUCCACCGGACCGACGCGACUCGCUUUUAAAAUAAAAUAAAGAAAUGAAAAAGUUGGUGUUUUCCAGUUUUAAAAAACCCGCCCCCGAUGAGGAACGGUGUUGCUUGGAGUCACCACUUACUUUUUAUUUUUGUUUUUAAAAUGGGGAAAAUUAAGUAAGAACAAAAACCCCUAAUGACCCCAGUAUGGAAAAAGCGGUCUACGAAAACUAGAUUCUGGAUCCGGGGAUCAGGUUACCCGUUGGGAAGGUACCUCAUGCGAGGUAGCACCCCUCUAGGCCCGAAACUUGGUCUUUACUAAUGAAUUGGGUAUGUGGGAGCAUAUGGGUCAAAGGUCAAAUGAAACCCUAGGCUAAAUAGAUGUCAUGACUCACACAAUCCUAAUUGGUAUUUGGCAUGCAUAUGAAUUCAACCAAACAAAACAAUGGGUGCGUACCUGUGGUCCCUAGCCAAGCGCUGCAUAAAAGGUCAGCCAAACACUGAUAAACACAUAACAAACAUUCAAGAUUAAGCACCAUGCAUGCAUAUGAAUUCAACAACCAAAGCCAACGAUGCGUACAUGUGGUCCCUAGCCAAACGCUACAGUAGAGGGUGAGUUAGUCACGCAACAUGUAUUCAAAAUCAAGCAUCAAAGCUUGUGCCAAAAAGGAAGAUAGCUGGUUGAAAUGAGGUAAGGGACUCCCCAAAUGUCAUACAAAUCAAACUAGACUCAUCUAGACCACACCACCCAUAACUUCAAAAUUGCCCAUACUAACUGAAAUCAAACACUGACUUAAACCUUCAAGAUGGCUCACAAGUGCCCUAUAGCAAAAGGGUUUGAGCCCCCAUGGAUAAGGGCUCGAAAAAUGCCAAAAUCGAGGGCUACCUAAAGUCCUCUAGUAGAACAGGUUGAACUAGUUCUCAACUGGUACAACCUAUUGAGAAGAAUUCCCAAAUUUUUCUAGAAAACUCCUAAAUGAGUGAGGAUUCAAACAAAAGAAACGACACUCAAUCCCGAACCCGGAUGAGUGAGAACCAGACAAAGAAAGGCAGGUGUUCCUCAUAGCUGACAGAGGCUGCCAGCUAUGGUGUUGAACCAGUUGAUAAAAAAUCCCAAAUUCGGUAAUAAAGUUCCUAAGUGAUUAAGGAAGCAAACAAAAGAAACGGUUCUCAAUUCCGACCGCGGAUAAGUGAGAACCAGACAAAGAAAGGCAAGUGUUCCUCAUGGCUGACAGAGGCUCCCAACCAUGGUGCUGAACCGGUUGAACCGGUUCAGCCGGUUGGUAAAAAAUCCCAAAUUCGGUCAGGAAGUUCCUAAGUGAUUAAAGAAGCAAAAAAAAGAAACGGUUCUCAAUUCCGAGCCCGGAUGAGUGAGAACCAGACAAAGAAAGGCAAGUGUUCCUCAUGGCUGACAGAGGCUGCCAGCUAUGGUGCUGAACCGGUUGAACCGGUUCCCAACCGGUUCAGUCGAUUGAUAAAAAAUUCCAAAUUCGGUCAGGAAGUUUCUAAGUUAUUAAGGAAGCAAAAAAAAGAAACAAUUCUCAAUUCCGACCCCGGAUAAGUGAGAACCAGACAAAGAAAGGCAAGUGUUCCUCAUGGCUGACAGAGGCUGCCAGCUAUGGUGCUGAACCGGUUAAACUUGUUCCAAACUGGUUUAUCCGGUUGGUAAAAAUCUCAAAUUCGGUCAGGAAGUUCCUAAGUGAUUAAGGAAGCAAACAAAAGAAAUGGUUCUCAAUUCCGAUCCCAGAUGAGUGAGAACCAGACAAAGAAAGGCAAGUGUUCCUCAUGGCUGACAGAGGCUGCCAGCUAUGGUGCUGAACCGGUUGAACCGGUUCCAAACCGGUUCAACCGGUUGGUAAAAAAUCCCAAAUUCGGUCAGAAAAUUCCUAAGUGAUUAAGGAAGCAAACAACAACAAUCAUGUGUGGCCCUUAUUAUCCACACCCAAGCAAUACAAUCUUCAUAUCAAAGGAAAGAAAAGAUGAUGAUGAAGGAGAAAAAGCAUAUGAAGACGAGGAAGAUAAGUUGUAAGUAAAGAAAAUUCAGCAUGCUUACCUCAGAAACUCCACCAAAUAUGAUCCAUGUAUGCAGAUGAGGACUUCCAAAACUGAGAUGUUGUCACUCUCCUCUUCAAAAAAACCACAGUGCUGAAGCUUUCCCCCACACUCUCAACUCAGAAGAUGCUACUGACCUUUUGUUUUUCUCACCAGCAAAAUUUCCCCUCUCCAAAAUGUCCCCUCUCCUGUCCUUUGCUCUCCUAUCCUCUCACCUUUUAUACUCAUCCCCUCUUAGCAUUUGAGCCUCCUGGAUUCCUUCCCCUUCAGCACUGAAAUCCCCUUCAUCAGCAUGGGAACCACACCCUUCAUUACUUCUCUUAAACUUACAAGGCCAACUCACUCCUUCAGCUUGCUUCACCACCAAGAAUCCAUAUGGAUUCGUGUUGGGCUGCAAGGAACCCAAACCAAGGCCCAAAAUGGACCCACAACAUUGCCCAAAACCGAUCUGGAGCUUACGGGCCUGAGCCAUGUAGGAUUUGGGCCUCAAAAUUACUAGAAUUAGCGUUUUACCUCAACUGACUCAAUGAACCGGCUGAACUGGCCGAACCGGAUUCCAACUGGUCGACUCGAUGGAAAAAUAUUCUGAAAAUUUGAUAGAAUGUUCCUAGUAGAGUAAGGAAUCCAUUAAAAAAAAGGUACGUGAUUCCAAGUUCGGAAGAGGGAAAUAUGAUCAAAACAAUUACCAAAAAUCAGUGUUCUACACCUACUGACCUGAUGAACCAGCCGAACCGGUUGAACCGGCUGCCAACCAGCCGACCGGUUGCAAAAAAUUUUGAAAAUUUUAUAGAAUGUUCCUGGAAGAAUAAGGAAUCCAUAAAAAGAAACGGUUCUUGAUUCCAAGUUUGGAUGAGGGAGAUACAAUCAAAACAAGCCCGAGUGCUCCGAACCUCAACAUGCCCCUAUAAACUCCAACUAAGCUAAAACAUCGGGAUGACCCCACUUCCUUCCUAUAGCGUGAUGUGAACAACUAGGAAAAUGGCCAUGGUGACCCUUCAAAAUGAACCACAUAUGCACCACAAUGGACCACAGACAAACCCACACGAGGCUCGGACACCGACUAAGCCCAAAAGGGGCCCUAGUGGUGCCAUAUGCGAACGAUGGGUGGAUGUGACACCCGAAGGAUAAAUGUCAGUGUCGAGGGACAAAAUUGAGGGUCUACACUAUGUCUUUCUGGUUUAUCACAUAACAACCUUGAGUCUUCAAUAGAAAGUAGGAUACAUAAGCUAGAAAAAAUCUUAUGCCAAAAUGGAUAGAACAAAAAUUGUCAAUUCAAAUUACAUAGUUUAAGCUACUGACAAUUUAUUUUUAUUUUUUUCUAGAUCUAUUUAUUUGAAUGUUCAAAAUUUCCCUAUAUUUAUCAAUAAAUCUACCUAUGUUCAAACACAUCUAUUUUUUUAGAAAAUAAAUAAAUAAAACCCUAAUCUAAAUUUAGAUUUUUCAAAAGAAUAUUUAAACUCUAAAAUUGGGGUGGUACAAAAAUCAAGAUUGAAAUUCAUUAGAAUUGAGUAAUGAUAUAUUGAUGAGGAGAGUUUUAUACAUUGAAAGCUUAAAUAGUUUUAGGUUUUGUUUAAUAAUUGUUUUUUAAAAUAACCUUUUAUUUUUCAAAACAAAAAAAAAAAAAAAAAAAAAAGGAAAACAUGUAUAACAAUAAAAAAAAAUAGAAAAUAAUUUUUUUCUGCAAAACAAAAAAUAUGAGGCCUAUUUGGUAAUUAUUUUCAAAACAAAAAUAGGAAAACGUGUAUAAUAAUUAGAAAAUAUAAAAUAAUUUUUUUGUUCUAAAAAAUAUUAAAAAAAAAAGGUGUUUUUGGAAAACAUCUUUGUAGACCCUCAAUUUUGUCCCUCGACACUGGCAUUUAUCCUUCGGGUGUCACAUCCACCCAUCGUUCGCAUAUGGCACCACUAGGGCCCCUUUUAGGCUUAGUCGGUGUCCGAGCCUCGUGUGGGUUUGUCUAUGGUCCAUUGUGGUGCAUAUGUGGUUCAUUUUGGAAGGUCACCAUGGCCAUUUUCCUAGUCGUUCACAUCACACUAUAGGAAGGAAGUGGGGUCAUCCCGAUGUUUUAGCUUAGUUGGAGUUUAUAGGGGCAUGUUGAUGUUCGGAGCACUCAGGUUUGUUUUGAUCGUAUCUCCCUCAUCCAAACUCGGAAUCAAGAACCGUUUCUUUUUAUGGAUUCCUUAUUCUUCCAGGAAUAUUCUAUAAAAUUUUCAAAAUUUUUUACAACCAGUCGGAUGGUUGGCAGCCGGUUCAGCCAGUUCAUCGAGUCAGCCGGUGUAGAACACUGAUUUUUGGUAAUUGUUUUGAUCAUAUCUCCCUCUUCUGAACUUGGAAUCAUGCACCGUUUUUUUUAAUGCAUUCCUUAAUCUACUAGGAACAUUUUGUCAAAUUUUCAGAAUUUUUUCCAUCGGUUCGACCAGUUGACAUCCGGUUCAGCCGAUUCAUUGAGUCAGCUGAGGUAAAACACUAAUUCUAGUAAUUUUGAGGCCCAAAUCCUACAUGGCUCAGGCCCGUAAGCUCCAGAUCGGUUUUGGGUAAUGUUGUGGGUCCAUUUUGGGCCUUGGUUUGGGUUCCUUGCAGCCCACCACGAAUCCAUAUGGAUUCUUGGUGGUGAAGCAAGCUGAAAAUUGAAGGAGUGAGCUGGCCACGUAAGUUUAAGAGAAGUAAUGGGGGGUGUGGUUCCCAUGCUGAUGAAGGGGAUUUCGGUGCUGAAGGGGAAGGGAUCCAGGAGGCUCAAAUGCUAAGAGGGGUAUGAGUAUAAAAGGUGAGAGCAUAGGAGAUAAAAUGAGAAGAGGGGACAUUUUGGAGAGGGAAAAUUUUGCUGGUGAGAAAAACAAAAGGUCAGUAACAUCUUCUGAGUUGAGAGCGUGGGGGAAAGCUUUAGCACUAUGGUUUUUUUGAAGAGGAGAGUAACAGCAUCUCAGUUUUGGAAGUCAUCAUCGGCAUAAACGGAUCAUAUUUGGUGAAGAUUCUGAGGUAAGCAUACUGAAUUUUCUUUACUUACAAUUUAUCUUCCUCGUCUUCAUAUGCUUUUUCUCCUUCCUCAUCAUCUUUUCUUCCCUUUGAUAUGAAGAUUGUAUUGCUUGGGUGUGGAUAAUAAAGGUCACACAUGAUUGUUGUUGAUUGGUUAUUAAUCAUUUAGGAACUUUCUGACCGAAUUUGGGAUUUUUUACCAACCGGCUAAAUCGGUUGGGAACCGAUUCAACCGGUUCAGCACCAUAGCUGGCAGCCUCUGUCAGCCAUGAGGAAUACCUGCCUUUCUUUGUCUGGUUCUCACUCAUCCGAGCUCAGAAUUGAGAACCGUUUCUUUUGUUUGCUUCCUUAAUCACUUAGAAACUUUCUGACCGAAUUUGGGAUUUUUUAUCAACCGGUUCAGCACCAUAGCUGGCAGCCUCUGUCAGCCAUGAGGAACACUUGCCUUUCUUUGUCUGGUUCUCACUCAUCCGGGCUCCGAAUUGAGAACCGUUUCUUUUGUUUGCUUCCUUAAUCACUUAGAAACUUUUUGACCAAAUUUGGGAUUUUUUAUCAACCAUCUGAACUGGUUGGGAAUCGGUUCAACUGGUUGGGAAUCGGUUCAACUGGUUCAGCACCAUAGCUGGCUGCCUCUGUCAGCCAUGAGGAACACCUGCCUUUCUUUGUCUGGUUCUCACUCAUCCGGGCUCGGGAUUGAGUGUCGUUUCUUUUGUUUGAAUCCUCACUCAUUUAGGAGUUUUUUAGAAAAAUUUGGGAAUUCUUCUCAAUAGGUUGUACCAGUUGAGAACUAGUUCAACCUGUUCUGCUGGAGGACUUUAGGUAGCCCUCGAUUUUGGCAUUUUUCGAGCCCUUAUCCAUGGGGGCUCAAACCCAUUUGCUAUAGGGCACUUGUGAGCCAUCUUGAAGGUUUAAGUCAGUGUUUGAUUUCAGUUAGUAUGGGCAAUUUUGAAGUUAUGGGUGGUGUGGUCUAGAUGAGUCUAGUUCGAUUUGUAUGACAUUUGGGGAGUCCCUUACCUCAUUUCAACCAGCUAUCUUCCUUUUUGGCACAAGCUUUGAUGUUUGAUUUUGAAUACAUGUUGCGUGAUUGACUCACCCUCUGCUGCAGCGCUUAGCUAGGGACCACAGGUAUGCAUCGUUGGCUUUGAUUGUUGAAUUCAUAUGCAUGCAUGGUGUUUAAUCUUGAAUGUUUGUUAUGUGUUUAUCUGUGUUUGGCUGACCUUUUAUGCAACGCUUGGCUAGGGACCACAGGUACGCACCCAUUGUUUUGUUUGGUUGAAUUCAUAUGCAUGCCAAAUACCAAUUAGGAUUGUGUGAUUCAUAACAUCUAUUUAGCCUAGGGUUUCAUUUGACCUUUGACCCAUAUGCUCCCACAUACCCAAUUCAUUAGUAGAGACUGAGUUUCGGGCCUAGAGGGGUGCUACCUCGCAUGAGGUACCUUCCCAACGGGUAACUUGAUCCCCGAACCCAGAAUCUAGUUUUCGUAGACCGUUUUUCCAUACUGUGGUCAUUAGGGGUUUUUGUUCUUACUUAAUUUUCCCCAUUUUAAAAACAAAAAUAAAAAGUAAGUGGCGACUCCAAACAACACUGUUCCUCAUCGGGGGCGGGUUUUUCAAAACUGGAAAACACCAACUUUUUCAUUUUUUUUCUUUUCUUUUAAAAGCGAGUCACGUCGGUCCGGUGGAUCAAGUGAGGGUCCACAAUCUUUUAAUUGUUUUUAGUUGUUUUAAUUUGUUUUCUAAAAGUUGUUUUAAAAAAUAAUGAUAAAAAUAUGGAAAAUGAUUAAAAAUAAAACACUAUAUAUAAAAAUUAUUUUUAAAAUAUAUUUAAAAAUACAAAAAAUAGGUUUAAAAUAUUUUAAGUUUCCAAAAAAACAUUUAUGUUGUGUAAAACUUUAGAGAAUAGUUUAAACAAACAUUUGUUUUAUAAAACAUUAAAGAACAAUUUUUAUGAAUUGUUUUCUAAACUGUUUACAAAAAUAGUUAUCAAAUAGGGUUAUGGUCUUUUAAGAGAAUAUCAUUUAGUUAUUUUCAAUUAUUUUAAAAAAUAAUUAUACAAAUAUAAAUAAUAAUUAAAAUAAAGCACUACAAAUAAAAAAAAUAUUUUUAAAAUAUAUUUUAAAAUAUAAAAAAUAUAUUAAGAACAUUUUAAAUUCUCAAAUAGACUUUUAUUCUAUAAAAUAUUAGAAAAUGAUUUUUAAAAUUAUUUUAAAAAAUACUUUCCAAACAAAGGCUUAAAAUCUCUUCACUUUACAUCAAAAGAAAAAAAAAAUCUUUACUUUAUGAUAAAAUGAGAUAUAUUUACUAUAGGGGAAAUCAUGUAAAGGUUUACUAACAAAAAAAUAUAGAUUUUUUAAGAACUUUUAAAAAGUAAUCUUGGAAGCAUGUACAUAGUAACACAAACAAAAUUCCAAGAUUAUUCUUCAUUUUUUUCUCUCUUCCAUCGUCAACUAUCAUACUGUGGACUCCGCAUUUCACUCGAUGCCCUUCCACUCGAUGGCGCGACUUGCUUUUUAUUUAUUUGGUAAAAAUUUGAUUUUUUUUUUUUUAAAAAAAAAAGGACUUGGAGUCGCCACUUAUUUUUGUUUUAUUUUUAAAGGGAAGAACAAAAUAAGAAAGAAAACCCUAAAAUGUGACGUCUGAAAGAAAAAUAGGUCUAUGAAAAACCGAGUCUGGGUCCAGAGGUCAGGUUACUUAUUGGGAAGGUAUGAUAAAAACCGUGGCAUCCCUCUAAGCCCCUAAAAUGGGUCUCUACUAAUAAGGUGAAGCAAGUGUGACAAUUGAUUGAUUAAUUGUGGAUAUCGAACAAUAAUCAAGGGUGUGAAAGCAAGACCCGCAUGAUAACAAAUAAACAGAUAAACACAAUAGGGUACGAGGCGUACCUUAGUCACAAGUUGUGUGCUAUCAUAAGAGACAAGGUUAAUGCACAAAUACAGAAUAGUCUCAUGCAUGUCAUAGAGUGAGUCAAGUCAAUCAAGCAUAACAAUUAAUCAAUCUAUGAGAAAAUCACAUAUGUUGGGUCCCACCAAAACCCAAUCAAUCUUGCAUGAAUUAGUCUCACAAAUUCCAUUAUUUUGGAAUUAUGAAAAUUGCUUUCAAGCUUAUUAAAAAUAAUGAAAAACAAGAGAAUUAUUAGAAACCAAAGGAAAUCACAAGACGCAUGCCUGAAUAAAAAAAAAUGGCAGCAAGUUUAUUAAAAAUUAGGUUUUGGUGAAUCAGGAUUUUAAUGAAGAAAAAGAGAAAGAAGGGAUUAAGAAAAUAAUAAUAAUAAUGAUAAUAAUAAUAAUAAUGAUGAUGAUGACAAAUAAAUAAAACAAACGAAUAAAAUAAAGGAAAAAUAAUAAAAUACAUAAAUGAAUAAUUAUAUGAAAGAUGAAUAACUAAUUAAAUUAGGUGAGUAAACAAACUAAAUAAAUAAAUUUGAAAGAGUUAAGACCAUCUAAAAGAUAAAUUUUUGAAAAUCAAGUUUUGAAACUAAUUUGAAAAUUGAAAUUUUAAGAACUAAGUUAGAAGAUUGGAAUUUUAGAAAAAAAAAUAAUUUGAAACUGGAGGUCAUGAAAAUUGGAACUUGAAAAUUUAUCUGGCAAUAAAAUUUCUUAUAAAUUAAAUCGCAAAAUUGGAAUUUUGGAAAAUUAUUUGGGAACGGAAAUUUCUACAAGGAUAAGUUUGAAAAUUGGAAUUUUUGGAAAAUUAUUUGAGAAUUAAAGUUUGAAAAAUUAAAUUUGAAAAUUAGAGUUUUGAAAAUUGGAGUUUUGAAAAUUAUUUUAAAGAAAUUGGAGUUCUGAAAAUUAAAUUGUAAGAAUUGGAAUCUUGGGAAUUAAAUUUGAAAGGAAUUAGAAUUUUGAAAAUUAUUCGAGAAUUGAAACUAUGAAAAUUAGAUUAUGAAAAUUGGAAUCUUGGAAAUUAUUUGGAUAUGGGAUUUUUCAAAAAUAAAUAAAUGAAAUAAUAAUAAUUAUAAUAAUAAUGAUAAAUAAAUAAAUGUGAAAAUUGGAAAUUGGAAAUUAAGUUUGAAAUUAGAAAAUUGGAAUUUUAGAAAUUGAGAAUUAAAUUCGGAAAUCGGAAUUUUGAAGAAUUAUUUAAAAGGUGGAAUUUUAAAAAUAAAUAAAUAAAUAAAAUAAUAAUAACGAAAAUAUUAACAAUUAAUUAAUGUGAAAAUUGGAAUUUUAGAAAUUGGAAAUUAAAUUUGGAAAUUGGAAUUUUGAAAAUUUGUUUAAAGAUGGAAUUUUAAAAAAAUAAAAAUAAAUAAAUAACGAAAAUAAUAAUAAUUAAAUAGAUAAAUGAGAAGAUUGGAGUGUUGGAAAUUGGAAAUUAAACUUGGAAAUCGGAAUUUUGAGAAUUUGUUUAAAGAUGGAAUUUGGAAAAUAAAUAAAUAAGUAAAUAAAAUAAUAAUAAUGAUGGAAAUAAUAAAGAUUAAAUAAAUGAAUGUAAAAAUUGGAAUUUUGGAAAUUGGUUUAAAUUAGGAAAUCGGAAAUUUUGAAGAAUUACUUAUAAAAUGAACUUGAGAAUUAGAAAAAAAAAAAUUGACGAGUGAGAUUUCUUAAAGAAUUAAAUUUUGAAAAUGGAAAUUUUUGGAAAAUUAUGUGAGAUUGGAAACCUUGAAGAUUAAAUCUAAAAGUUGGGAUUUUGAAGAAUUAUUUAAAAAUAAAAGUUUUAAAGAUUAAAUUUGAGGAUCGGAAUUUCGAAAAAAUUAUUUGAAAAUAGAAAUUUGAAAAUUAAGUUUAAGAAAAUGGAAUUUUAAAGAAUUGUUUGAGAAUUGAAUUUAAGAAUAUUUGAUUUGAAAGGAAAUAGAGUUUCAAAAAUUUAUUUGAAGGCGGCGUUUUAAAAAUUAAAUUUCGGAAUUGUGGAAUUUUUAGAAAAUUAAAUUUAAAAUUUUGAGUCUUAGAAAAUUAAAUUUAAAAUUAGAACCUUAGAAAAUUAUUUUGAGGAUUGAACUUUGAAGAAUUAAAUUUAGGAAAUUGGGACUUUGGAAAAUUAUUUGAAAAUGGAAGUUUUGAAAAUUAAAUUUUAAAAAAAAAAUGGAAUUUUGAAGAAUUAUUCGAAAAUGGAAGUUUUGAGAAUUAAAUUUGAAAAUAAUUGAAAUUUAGAAAGUUAAAGUCUUUUUUUUAAAAAAAAAAAUGGAGUUUUGAAAAAUUAAAUUAAAAAUUGGAAUUUUGGAAAUUUAUUUGAAAAUGGAAUAUUUAAAAAAUUAAAUUUGGACAUCAAAAUAUGAAGAAUACAAAAAAAAAAAAGAUUAGUAGUGGGUAGGUUUUGUUGAUGGUGAUGAUGGAAAUUAAAGUAUGGAAGACAAGGAAAUAUGACUUUUCAUAUCAUGGCUGGGUUUUACGAAUAAAAGAAAUAGAGAAAAAAAAUUUGAGUAAUGAUGAAAACUGGAAAUGAAGACUUCUAAAGGCAUUCUCAUUAAAUGUUGCCCCACUUUCAGCAUGUACUCAUUUGCUGGGAGAUCAAAAACAUUACCACCUAUUUAAAGGAAACAAUAGGCAUGGAAAAAAAGCUGCAAACAGUCCACAAUUGAUUCUCCUAUUGGGCUCGGCAGUCAAUCACAAAGCUCGUUCACAUAUUCCAAUACACGUUCUUGUGUCUUAUUUUGUCGAAGCUGGCUUUGCAUCCAAACAUAUUCCUUAAAAUGAAGACUUCUAAAGGCAUCCUCAUUAAAUGUUGCCCCACUUUCAGCAUGUACUCAUUUGCUGGGAGAUCAAAAACUUUACCACCUAUUUAAAGGAAACAAUAGGCAUGGAAGAAAAGCUGCAAAGAGUCCACAGUUGAUUCUCCUAUUGGGCUCGACAGUCAAUCACAAAGCCCGUUCACAUAUUCCAAUACAUGUUCUUGUGUAUUAUUUUGUCAAAACUGGCUUUGCAUCCAAACAUAUUCCUUAAAUUUUAACACUUCCAAAGAAGAGAGAAAGCACAACUAGACUGUACACCGCAAGCUGAAGAGUGAAGAAAAGCGCGAAACCCAUGGGAUGCUCCCCCUUGAAAUUCACCUAUGAAGCCUUGUAUCCCAACAACCACCUCGGCAGAUUCUGGAGCUCCGUCUCCUUCACAUCCUCAGGUAGACCCGAGAUGAAGGUCGUAUGUACCUUUUCGGAAGGCGAAGGAGCCGGAGUCGGCAGCCACUAAUUACUACCCAAAAAGUGUUAUUUUGCGCCUUUAAUUCAUUAUGUUUUAAGCACUUUUGUGUAGUAGUUCUCCAUUUUUAUUCCAAUUGACAUGUUAAGGACCUAGCAAUGACUUCUAAUCAUAUUUGUGGCUAUUUUUAGUGUUUUGAUAGUUUUUUGGAUCAUUAAGACAAGCCAAGUAAAGGAGAGAAGUAAAGAGAAAAAACAGAGGAAAGAAGCAGUUUUUGUAGCCGUGCACUAUCACUUUGGGAGGCUUUAUUUUGUUCAUCGUGCAAAAUCACAUUUCAAGAAUCCCAUAUUCGGAACCGGCUUGGAAUUGCUGACAAAUCAAGUACCUAUAGUGGUAUAUUGCCAUUCGUUUAAGGAGCUCAAAAUGGCAAAUUUCGCACUUUGUACUACUGUUCAUGCGAAAAUGCCAAGCAAGUUCGAAUUUCGCACCAGCCCAUGCAAGUGCGAAUUUCGCACCUUGUAUUGUUCAUGCGACUUUGGUGCGAAAUCUCCUCUGUUCUGCCGACUCCACAUGAGAUCUUUUCUUUUGUAUUUUUGAUGUAAAUUCCUUUCUUAUCUUUGUAAUUAGCUAAUCACAGGCUUUGCUUUUAAAAGACUAUAAGAGGGGUGGAAAUCAUCUCUCGAAAAUAUAUUUGUAUUUUUUUACACUUAGUGAAAUUUUCCUCUCGGGGAGAAAUACAUAGUUCUCUUUGCUUUCCUUUCCUCUCUUCUAUUUUUCUUUUUCUUGGAAGCCAAACAACCUCUAAGGAUGUUUUCCUAGAGGAUGAGAGGCUAAACCUUUGGUUUCUUGGAGUGAAGGAAGCUAGGUGAAAAGUUCAGAUGCAAAAGUGGGAAACUCUCGUGCAUUAAAUACAGGUAGUUGGAGUUCAUAAAUGGCUUUUAAAUCUAAAGUUUUGCUUUAAAUCCCUUAGAAUCACUUUGAAUGGCCAAUACAUGAUAACCUUUUAGGUCUCUGUGGAUACUUAUUGCUAAAUCCACAUAAGACCAUUAGUUAUCAUGUACGAGCCAUUGGAAAGUGGCUCAAGGUGAAGACCCAUAGUGUCUAAAGCCAUUAAUGGAACUUGACUACCAUUUCUAUUGACUUUUUAUGAAUUAAAUCUUCAUUGUUAAAUCUAUACCGGUUUGGGAAACAACCAUCCUUUAUGUUGUUAUCCCCAAUGAGAGGAGAAAAAUCCGGAAUUUCCCACUUUGCAUUCUGAACUUGAUCCUAGUAACCUUUAUGUCACGGACUUAGUCGUUCACUAAGCUCGUGCGGCACUUAGGCAAGUCAAGACGCUUGAUCUUGCUAAGUCAGCCUUGAUCCCCAAUGCUUAGCUUGCUCGGCUAAGACACUCGCGACUCGAAAGCUAAAGAGCUUAGUAGGCAACUCCUUAAAGAAUGGAAGCUUUAUUAUCUCAAGAAAGCCUUUACAAGUGCUUGGAUGCUCACUUGCUUGGUGCCUUGGCCAAAUGAGGCCCUCACCUAUUUAUAGGCACCAAUGGAACUCUCUAGAACCUUGGAGGGUUCCUUACAAUUCAUGAAUAUUCUAGAAUGUCCUACACUAUUCUAGAAUAUUCAAGAGACUUCUAGAAUGUCCUACACUAUUCUAGAAUAUUCAAGAGACUUCUAGAAUGUCCUACACUAUUCUAGAAUAUUCAAGAGACUUCUAGAUUUCUCUAGAAAGCUUUGGACCGUUCUCAUGCCUUCUACCAUAGUGUAGAGUUAUGUGGACUUCUCUAGGAAUUUCUAGAACCUUCCACACUCUUCCCACUAGUGGCUAAGUGUGGAUGUCUCCAAGGGUCUCUAGAAGCUUCUCACCUCCUAUAUAAGCCAUGGGGAGGGUCAUUUGAAGCAUCUUGUGAUACUCUCCCCCACCUAAGCCGUCGACGUCCUCGUCGUUGCCUCAUUCUGAAACUUCUCGAUGUGUUUCCAGAAUUUUCUCAAGGCAUCCGCAUGUUCCCAGCUUACCUGCCUCUUAGGUAGUCCUUUCCAUCGGACUAGAUACUCUAUCACAGGAGGGACCCCUUGUCUCCUGGUGACCCGUUCAGCCAGGAUAUUCUUCACCUCCUUCUCCCGUGAGGCUUCAGAUGGAUGCAGACCCGUGCGUUUCCGAUGCUUAGAGUGUUGCUUCCUCUUACCCAUUGAGUUCACCUUUCCCUUAGUGACCUCUUCCAUGUGUGUGCGGGCUACCUCAGCUCGCUCUCCUUUUUCCUCCUUUACUUGCACCCCUGCUAAUAAGGAGGUCUCAGGCGUACUAGGCUUCGGGUUGAAUUGGAGGGCACCUAGUAGCUGCAUUGAGCCCAUAUGUGCUUCGUCCUCCUGCUCCCUCUCCUCGAUCAUGGCACUGAGCGCCUUCCGCUUUGGACAAUCCCGUGCCCAAUGUGGACCGUCACACAGGAAGCAUUUGAUUUUAGGCGUAAACUCGCUCAUUUCCGCCUUAUCCCUUCCUUCUCGGACGUUAGACGUCUUGCUUGAUCCCUUUUUAAGAGCAUUGUGGUCCCUUGGAACCUCGUCUCCCCCACCCAUGGCAUGACUAUCCUCUAAAGACUCAUCCUUGGAGGAGUCUCCCCUCUUAUAAUCCGUUAAAGAUUCUGCUAUUGCCAUAGCAGUGGCUAAGUCUUGAACGCCUCGGUGCCUUAAUUCCUGCUCGGCCCACCCUUGCAGGUUGUCCAUGAAGUUGAAUAGCAACUCCUCCUGAGUCAUGUUAGGAAUCUCAACCAUGAGCGAAGAGAAUUCCUUGACAUAGUCGCGUAUUGAGCAUGUGUGCUUAAGACGCCGCAUGUUUUUCCUAGCCAGGUAAGCCACGUCCUCCAGGUAGAACUGCCUCUUGAUCUCCCUCCUGAAGUCCUCCCACGUCUUUAUGGUGCAAAUGCCUUUCUCCAUAUCGGCAAACCUUCGACGCCACCAUAGAGUAGCUGUGUCAGUAAGGUAGAGGGUCGCAGUUCUCACCUUAGCCGCCUCAUCCGUCAAUGCGAUAGCUUCGAAGUAUCGCUCCAUAUGCCAUAAGAAGUUAUCCAACUCCUUGGCAUCCCGCUUGCCACUAAACCCAUGUGGCUUCGGCACCUCCACCCUAGAUGCCUCCUGUGUGGCCAUGACCCAAGCUGAUACAGCGGUCUUAUAGAUGGCCAACUCUUGUCGAAUCUCUUGGUCUCGGGCCUCCACUCGUGCAGUCAAGGCCUCCAUCCUUGACUCCACACUAGCGAACAUGCUCAUGACCUUGUCUUGGAAGGACAUGAACUCCUCGUGUGACACCGGCUGAACUUGCGAGACCAGUACCCCCUCACGAAGGUCUUGGAUCUACUCCCUUAGAUCCUCUAAUCCCUUCUCCAUGCCUUACUCGAUCAAGUCCACCCCUUCCCGGGUGUCUGCCAUGGCUAGCUCCACCUUGGCUAACCUUGCCUCCAUGUUGGCAACAACAUCACGAGAUGUAUCCUUCUUACCUCUGCCCCUGCCCCGUGCAGUAGGCUCGGUCUCCCUCCCACAGGUUUGCUCGCUAGUCUCCUCCACAUUGGAACCCUACAUGCUUCCUUUGCUAUGCCCACCUCGUAACCGCGCUCUGAUACCACUUGUCACGGACUUAGUCGUUCACUAAGCUCGUGCGGCACUUAGGCAAGUCAAGACGCUUGAUCUUGCUAAGUCAGCCUUGAUCCCCAAUGCUUAGCUUGCUCGGCUAAGACACUCGCGACUCGAAAGCUAAAGAGCUUAGUAGGCAACUCCUUAAAGAAUGGAAGCUUUAUUAUCUCAAGAAAGCCUUUACAAGUGCUUGGAUGCUCACUUGCUUGGUGCCUUGGCCAAAUGAGGCCCUCACCUAUUUAUAGGCACCAAUGGAACUCUCUAGAACCUUGGAGGGUUCCUUACAAUUCAUGAAUAUUCUAGAAUGUCCUACACUAUUCUAGAAUAUUCAAGAGACUUCUAGAUUUCUCUAGAAAGCUUUGGACCCUUCUCAUGCCUUCUACCAUAGUGUAGAGUUGUGUGGACUUCUCUAGGCAUUUCUAGAACCUUCCACACUCUUCCCACUAGUGGCUAAGUGUGGAUGUCUCCAAGGGUCUCUAGAAGCUUCUCACCUCCUAUAUAAGCCAUGGGGAGGGUCAUUUGAAGCAUCUUGUGACACUUAGCUCCGGGAGACUUUCUUUCUUCCAUUUUUGCCUAGUUUUAUUUAGUUUAGUUUCAAACACCACUUUUAAAACAAAUUUUAUUUUCUUUUAAACUUUAAGUUUUUGACAAAGGAAAUCAUCAGAUUCAAUUUCUAAUCUUGAGUCUAUCACUAGUAGAAUGAAAACCCAUCCCAGAGUUCGACCCUAGAGCUACUAUACUAUAGUAGCUUUGCUACACUAGUAUGAGGUCAUAGGAUUUAUAAAUAUUUUUUUUAUUAAAAUGCCCAACUGGGCACGAAUCAGCCACUGCCAGUGGUAGGGGUGGAUUUCGGCAUCGCCCAUUUUCAGAGGGUUUGGAAUACGGGAUAUAGUGGAGACCCUAGUAUCCACUCAAGAAAACUAACCUAUCAAAACAUCUUACCAUGGAUUCCCCUGCUCAGUCUCGACCCAGCCGAAAUGCUUAUCACCCCAAACACACCCAAAAGAAACAUAGAAGUGCAGAGGAGGGCAAGACCAAAACAGAGCAUAAAAUAAGCAAACCAAAGACCAUUACACCUCGCUCCAUCCCAUAAAGAUCAAGGGGUCGGAUACAAGUGGCAUAAAAAGGAAGCAAAAUCAUGAUUUUAAUACAUCAAGUUCAGGGAAGGAACAAAACAUCAUACAUUGGCAAGAGAGAUAAAAAACACCCCAAAAUAAAACCAAAACAGAGCAUGCAUAUAAAUAAUAGAUCCAACAAAGCAAACAAGUGGCCCAGUAGUCAUACCUGGAAUGCUCUCCUCAAGGCAAGAGUUUCUUGGCUCCCUGCUCUGCUCCCUCACCUAGCUGUCUCUAUCUCCUUGUCCUCCACCCAAAAAAAUAUCUCUCCUUCUAAAUCGCCCAGCAAGCUUGCAGAACACGCUCCUCUGUUUCCUACAACUGUGUUUUCUUUUUCUCCUUGCUUCCCGUCCUUUUCAGCCGCCCAAAUAUAGCUUACCCAUCAACUGCUUUCUUUCCUUUUCAGUCCCAUCUAGCCGCCCAAUGCAGCUCAAUCUCAAGGUGGUAAGAAGAAGUCAAGAAGAAGAAAGAAAAGAAAAUGAGACACAAAAGAAAAUGCCCCCCAUGUGAGGGGGUCUACACAUACCUUUUUCUUUUUUUCUUUUUUAAAUUGACAUGACAAUUGAAAAAACUUCUUAUUAUUUUUUAUAAGAAAAUUGACGUGUCACAAUCAACCAUACCACAUGAUUUUUUUUUUUUUUCCAAUCAUGCUUAUCAAUGUUUUUAAACUUGACAUGUGGCCAUCAACAUGCAACAUUAUUUUUGUUUUUUUUUCCUCUUUAUUUUUUAUUUUUUUAUUUUUUAUUUCUAUAAUAUGUCACUAACACAUUCUCAUAAAAUAUUUUUAAUUUCAUUUUUUUCACUCUUUCAUUUUUUUAUUAUUAAUAUAUUUUAGUGUUACAUUUUUCAUUAAAGAGUGAUACAUUUUUUUUUUCCGGAGAAGUGUGGUAUUCUCUUUUCCAAGAGUUAUGUUGAUGGAUGCGUAACAAAAAUUUUAAUUUUUAACAAAAUUAAGAGAAAAUAAUAUAAAUGAUUAAAUAUAUUUUUUUAAUAAAAAAUAUUUUAUUUUUAUUUUAUAUAAAUAAAUUUUUUUAAAAUUUAACAAAGCAAAAUAUUAAAUGUUAAAACCAUAACCAAGUUUUUAUCUUUUUUAAUUAAAAAUAUUAAACAUUUUAACCUAAAAAAAGUUUAAACAAUGGUCAAGUUAAAUUUACAAGCAAAAAAUUAAAACCAUAAUCAUCAAUUCUGAUUUUCACAUGAAAAUUUAAAAAUAUUAUAAAUGUUAUAAAAUUUAUAAAAUAAAAAAUCAUGUGUUUUAGGAAUAUAAAAAAUCUUAUGUCAUAUGUUUUUAUGUAUUUAUUUUUAUAUUAAAUUUGUUCUCAUUAAUAAUUUAUUAUAUAUUAUUAUUUUAUGUUUAAAAUGUUCAUAAAUAAUUAAAAUAAAUAAAUAUGAAAAUAUUAAAUUGUGGAAAAAAAAUUGAAAUAUAAUUUUUUUUAUGAAGCCAACAUAUUAAAAAAAUAAAAAAUGUGAAAGUAUUAUGGAGAAAAAAAGGAAAAAAAAAAGUCAUAUGACAUGAUUGAUUGACACAUGUCAAUUUUUUUUUUAAAUAUUAAUCAUAAUAGGUGAUGAGUGAUGUAAAAGUACAAAAAAAGAAAAAAAAUGGUGACAAUUAGUAGCCGGAAUUUGGAUGAUGAGGGUUAGAGGGUAGUUUUGGCAUGUUAAGGAUUUUUUACUAAAGUGCAUGUUUCGAGGGUUAUUUUUUCUAAAAUGAAUGAAUUCCAAAAGUUAAAAGUUAAAAAUUUAAAAAAUUUAUUUAUUUUUAGAUAGCACAUUAUUAGAGGAUUCUUCCUUUACUAAGGUGGUGUUUAUUUUUUUUACUUAAUUCUAAAUAGAAUCUUAAUAUUUAAUAAUGUUAAAUAUUAGGUUGUUUGUUUUUUUAGUAUUUUAUUUAUAUUAAGUAUUAAAAAGUAAAAAAAAAACUAAUAUGUUAUUUUUUUCUAUUUAGAAAAAAUUACAUAUUUUGACUUUUUUUAUUCAGUAAAAAGUUUAUAAUAAGUUAUGAAAAAAUAGAAAACAAAUAAUAAAAAUUCUAAAAAUAAAUUGUUUUCAACAAAAAACCAAAUAAACAAACACCCUUUAAAUCUAUAACUUUUCUUUUCCUUAGCUUACACUAAUUUCUAAAACUAUAGACCGAUUUUGUAUAAAAUAUUAAACAAUAUUAUAAGAAUUUAGAAUGUGACAUUCUCAUUCUUUAAAUUUCUUUUUCAGAAUUCUUCUAUUUAAUUUCUUUUGCCUAUGUUUGUUUCCAAAAAUUUUGAGAGAAAAUGCAAAACAAAGAAAAUAGGAAGGAAAAGUAGCAGGCGCAAAGUGAAGGAAAAUAAAAAAUAAAUUUAAGGUCAAUAAAUUAAUUUUAUUUGUUACUUCAAAUUCAUUUUAUUUAUUUUAACCCAUUAAUAUAAAAAUUAAAUAAUUUAAAAAUACAUAAAUUUUUAACUAAUUUUAAUUAUAUUUAUUUAUUUUUUUAAUAUUUUCCAUAAAACAACUAAAUAUAAAAAAAAAAUCAUUUUCCUCCAGGAAACAAACCUUAGUUUUACAACAAGACAAAAAAUUUUAAUUUCAGGGUGUGAGAAGGCACAGCCGUAAAAGACAACAUAACAAUCCAAUACUUUAUUGAUUCAGCUCUUAGACAAUAUGAAAAGGUAUAAAAUGCAUGAAGUAGAAUAGAAUUUAAGAAUGUUUUAAUGAGUCAUCUCUUAGACUAUAUGAAAAGGCACAUAUCAUAUGAAAAAUUAAUUCACUUGUGAAUUUUUAAGUAACUUUAUAUUUGCAAUCAUAUAUCAAUGAUAAAGAAAGUAUGAGAAAAGUAGAAUAAAAAAAUUGACUGCCCUAAAAUGAAGAGAAGGUGGUGAUGAAUUUAAUGAUUACAGUAGCCAAUGUAAAGACAAUGAGUACGACAUUAAAAAAAUAACAUAUGGUUUGAUUUGAAUGAUAAGGUUUAAAAUUAUAAUGUAGUAGAUGACGAUAUUACACCAAUGACACCAGAGCAUGCUUAUCGCCAACAUAAAUUAAUACAAGUGCAUGUUUUGUUUUUUUCGCACGGGGUGGGGGGAUGGUGUGGGCGCAGAGACAUCAUAAGAGCUACGGUGGAUGAUAUGCUAACAGCGGUCAAAGGUGAAACUUUUAUUUAUUUUUAUAUGACAUUUUAAAUCGAAGCCUCAUCAUGGUUGAUCACGUCCGAACACGUGGCAAGCAGUUAAAUUAUUCGGAACCACAUCUGGUGGGUCCCACCCCAAGAAAUCUACCCAUUACUUUUGACCACCAUGACGUUCCAAAAUUUCAAAGUACGGUUCCCACAAAAUUCCACACAUCCGAUGGCUCAAAACCAAUCAUGCUGGUUUGGAAUCUUUGCGCAGGCGGUACAGUUAGUAGGCCCCACUCCGGCAACAAAUUGCUACUCACCACGUGGCUAAUUUUUUGGCUUAGUACUCUGCUUUUGGUCAGAGCAGUCAGGCACAAGAGUUCCCAAAUGUUAAAGUUGGAGGAUGCUUAGUGUGAAGUGAAGAGAAUGUAGCAGAAAGAGAGAGAGAGAGAGAAACGACUCAACGAGUCUUUGGGGUGGGAAGUGUUGGUUUUUGCCAUCAAGGGAAUCAAGGAAUCUGUUGCGGGAUUUGGGAAGAAGAAGAAGGUGAAAGUGCUGUUGGGUUUUCCUUGGGUUUCUUCUUUUGCAUGAGGUACGAUUCUUACUAACAACUGAUGUCUCUUUGAUUUUCGCUGCUUGAGUGUAUGUAUAUGCUUUUUUGGGUUUGAAUCUCAGUCUAGAAAUGCUAGAUUUCAUCUGGGUUUUUUUGUCAUUGAUGAUUUCUUGUUUUGGAAGAAAUUGGUUUUUGAUGGUGAAUUUCCCUGGGAAGGUUUGCCUUUUCCCAGGUGAGUGCUAGAUUUUGUGGGUGUUUGCUGGGACAUUUUGCGGAAAUCUGUGUUAAUGGUGAAAGGGGAAGUCUUUUUGAGAUGGGGCUGUCUUAAAAUUUUGAUUUUCAGUGACUGGUUUGUUGAAAUGGGGGAGGUUUUGGCUCUGUUUCCUUUUUCUCACGGAAGGAUGGUCCUUAGAGAGCUGGAAUGAUGUGUCUUUAUGUAUUAUUGAAAUGGAGAUACUUGAAUUGGUCGGUUUGUGUACCCUCAAGCUUUUAUUGGAGGGUUUUGUUGAAAACUCAAGAUAUAUCAGUGGAUGGAAUUGGACCUUACCUCACAAAGAAGGAAAUGACCCAACAAUUUUCAUUUUUCUUUUAUCCAGUGGAACUCCAAAAAGAUACAGAAGAUGUAUGAGCAACUACAAACCUUAAAUUAAUGAAGCAAAUUUUUGUAGAUGAAUUAAAAAUGAAUCCAAAAGCUGGGAGAUGUCAACAGGUGAAUGGGAUUGUGGCCAGUUCCCCGCACCUGGGGUUUAACUCUGGUGGCAUGGAUUUCUUUUGGGAUGAACCCAAGCCCAACCUGAACUUGGUUUUCUUCUGAUGAAUAAAAGUCUCUGUUAAGAGAACUGGGCAAAUUCCAAGUGAGCAGUAUGUGUAUGUACUAGGCAAAGAGAGAAAACAUUAGCUAACCAAAUCAGUUGUCUAGGCAAAGUGCUAAAUUCAUUGAAUUCGCCAAAUAUACGGAAGAAAGAUCCAAAUGCCUCCCAGCUCCCACAGACAACCUAGAAUGCAACAAGCUUAGAAAAAGGUUCUUCGAAUAUCCUAUGAUUGCUAUGCUAAAGAUGAAGAGUGUCAUCACCAUAGUUUACUGGCUUAGCAAAUCGAAGGUUGGAGUAAAAUUGAAAGUUGGAAAAAAUUGAAUCUCCAAUUCCUUAAAGAUUUUUCCAUUAUGUCAAGUUUCACGCAAGACAAUGCCUGCAUUUUAUUUCCCACCUUGAAACUUGUCCAUUAUGAUUCCAUAUGCCCACACCAUGGUUCCUCCAACUUCAUGGUGCCAUUAACUGAAAUUUGUUUCCUCAGAUUUCGAGAAGACAAUAUUUCUUCAAAGGAAUCUCUUCUCUACCUCCAUAAUAAUUUACCUGAGAGCUUUAUUCAUGACCACAUCUCUAAAAUUAGAACUCCCUGUCCCCUUAGGCAAGAAAAUCUGCUCCCGUUUAAGUAAAUGGUAUUUGGAUUUCCUCGCACUUACUACCUUGAAGGAAAGUAUCUAAAGAAACAAACUUCCAUUUUUUGCCCCUUAUCGUAUGAGGUAAAGGGCUGCUGUUAGAACUUAUAAUUUUGGAAAAAAAUCUUCUUCUAUUUUAUUUGCCUGUGUUUAUUUGGAAGUUUCCUAAGUCAUCAAAAAAUUAGGUGGACUGUGUAUUCUUUUUUUCUUUCAUUGAUUGCUAGCUUAGUUUGCAAGAUAUAUGCAGAACAACUGACAGGCGUGAGUGAGGCAGCAUGAUCCAUGUUACUGCACUCUGAUGUUAGUUUUCCUGGACUUAUAUAGCUAAGGGACCAGCUUCUGGGAAACGGCAUUGAUUGAGAAUUGGACAUGAGUAUGCUGGUGGGGACAUGCUCGAGCCAAGGGAAGCUGAUAUACCUGCCCUUUUUCUGUUCUUGAUUGUAUUUCCUCUGGUUACCUACAUUUUACUUGGAAAAUGGAGUGAGGUCACAAAGAAGAAAAAGAGAGUAAGUUUGCUUGCUCAACUGGCUGCUGAAGAAGCUUUUAAAGCAGAAGCAAUGGCUACUGCCAGUGUUAUGCCUCUUGUGUCUUCUUCAAAGAGUGGAAAUCAUGAAUGCGCCAGAUGCUUUGGUCCAGCAACAACCCGCUGCUCCAGAUGCAAGUCUGUUAGAUAUUGGUAUGUCCUAUUCCUUGCCUUUUGGCUACUGUAACCUGUUUUAAUCAUUGUCUAUAUAUAAGAGUGUGUGUGUUUUAAAUAUGUUAUUUUUUGUCAAAUUUCUUAUACAUUGAUAAUGUUCUCUCUCUCUCUCUCUCUCUCUCUCUCAUUUUAAUUUUUAGGAUGAAGUGGGGUGUUGCAGUAAUGCAAGGAAGUGCAAUUUGAAACUCUGAAUAUAAUUCUAAUAUUUUGGACAAAAUUCAUCAAUUCGGAAUAGCAUGUUCAAUUAUAGAAGUCAAUUUCAUGAAGAUAUUAUGUGUACUUAGAUUUGAUUCUGAGUGAAAAUAUCAGUUCAUUCUUGAAAGGGGGUUUAUGUCAGUUGUCCAUUUCUAGUGAACUGUGCCUUUUAUCUGUCCACCACAUGGCAUCAGAUAAAUCUCCCUGUCUAAUGAAAAGGCAAUCCUUGACACAGCUUCGUACUGUGCUUCAAUUGAGUCUUAUGAAAUGUUUUGAGCAUGUACAGAUUUGCUUUUAGAAGAUCUAUUCUCUUUGGAAGCUUGUUUUGGUGAAAGAUUCCAUCAACUGAAUUAUCAAUUAGUGAAACGAGGAAUCUGUGCUAUUAAUUUAUUAGAGAUUUCUUUAGUAAUAACUAGGAAAAUAGUUCUUAAAUUUAAAUUUGGUUCACUCACCGGGGAGGAUCAAAUUACUCAAACCUGAUCCGGUCACAUUAAUAAAUCUCCUUUAAUAAUCACAAAACUCUAUAAGAUGGCUCUAUUUCAACAAGCCCCCCUCCAACUAGUGUGUGCAAAAGUCUGUUACCUACUCUCAGGUUUGAAUUCUUGAGAAUUCAAAAAUCAAUGGACCUUUCUGGUUUGACAAUAUAGACUUCGCCCUUAAGAGGCUGGCAGUUAACUACAUCUGGUCUCAUCAGAAUGACUACAUAUUGGCUUCAAUUAACAGUUCAUAUCUUUGUCAUACAGCUAUCACCUUCUUAAUUUCUCCUUUUUGUUUUUUCUUUCUACUUUGAGAGAGGGAGGCUCUUGCACUACUUUUGAUCCUCCUUUGUCAUUGAGGGAUGAUCUAGCUUACAUGGAGACAUGGUUAUGGGCUCCCUGAAAACAAUUGGAGGCUUCUAAGAAUUCAUCUUAGCUUGUAAUUAACAUAUUAUGACUCAUAUUCUAUUUCUAGAGCUCUUGUCAAAAAAAAAAAUUCUAUUUCUAGAGCUGCCCUCCAUAGGGAUCACUAACAUGGAGGAUAGGGUACGGUGGAAAGAGGCUAAGGAUGGUAUUUUUUCUGUUAAAUCCUUUUAUAGCGCUAUGGAGGGCAGCAGUACAGUCUCGUUUCUGAAAAACAUUAUUUGGAGCCCUUGUGCUCCUUCUAAGGUUGUUUUUUUUUGUUUGGGAAGCUUCAUGGGGUAAAGUUUUAACUUUGGAUCAACUAAAGAAGAGGGGCUGGUCACUGCAUUUCUUGUGCUGCUGAAGAGUCUAUUGAUCACCUUCUAAUUCAUUGCACCAAGGCCAAGGUUUUGUGGGAUUUGUUGUUUACCCUUUUUAGUGUGUCGUGGGUUCUUCCUUCGUCAGUUAAAGAGGUCCUUCUUGGGUGGCAUGGCUCGUUUGUGGGCUAGAAGCGAAGAAAGGUUUGGAGAGCAGCCCCCUUGUGUCAUUUUUGGAUGAUUUAGAAGGAAAGAAAUAGGAUUGCUUUUGAAAUGAGGAGUUUUCGAUUCAAAGGUUGAAAUAUUUUUUUGUUUGUAAUUUUUGGUCUUAGGCUAAGUAGUGUAUAGAUGAAGGGCCUAAUUCUUUAAUCAACUUUUUUGAUUGGUUGGGCUCUAGAUGAGGGUGGGUGAGUUUUUUGUACCCCUCUCUCUUUUGUUUUUUGCCUAUAGGCACUUGUUAUAUACUUCUUGUAUGUUUUGGGUUGGUCGUUGGGUGCCUUGUUCUUAUUAAUAUAUCCUUCUUCUAUGGCUUUGCCUGUCAAAAAAAAAAAAAAAAAGUUUAAAAUUGAAUCAAAGAGAUGGGGAACAACAUUAGAAAUAUCCUUUGAAGUCUUACAAGAGAAGCUCAAAGACUUGUUCCAAUGGCCAAGCCUUAAUUUAUGAUAGUGAUGAUGAUUUAAAUUCAUCUUGGGGCUUGCCAUAGUUGCUUUUUUAAAUUUCUAUUUUGGUUAGUGGUUGACUUUUUAUCAAGUUUCUAUCCAUUUUUAGUCUAAGAAAAUAGAAAAUUUUCUAUUUCAUGUGGGUCUAAAUAAUAUUCCUUUUCCAUAUCUUUUCCUAUUUUUGCAAAGAAAGAUAAGGAAUUAGGAAAAUUGUCUUAUUAAGGGUCAUAAGAGACGACUGCAUAUACCUAUGUAGUCUUUCAAAGUGAAAGAGGAGAAUUUUAAUGAAAGUUUCAGCAUCUAUUAUGCGUUCUUUGAGAGUGGGAUUGGCUUCUUCCCCAGUGUGAUUGCUUAGGUAACCUUAAGUGUGACUGUCAAGGUUUUUUUUAUUUUUAGCCAUUUCUAUUCUUUCCACUUUAUCCUAUAAUCCAAGUCAAUGAUAUAGGGCUGGAAAGUUUAAGAAAGAAUGCAGAAAAUAGCUUUUGAAGACUUACAAGGGGUAAGACUAGUUCCAAUGCCUAAGGCGUAAUUUGAGAUACUAAUGAUGAUUUAAGUUAAUCUGGGGACUUGCCAUAAUUGAUUUUAAGUUUUUAUUUUAGUUUGGUAAGUUUAUAUUUUAGUUAGCAAUUGACUUUUUGUCAGAUUUCUAUUUCUUUUAAUCUUCUUAUUAUAUAUAUAUUAGAAGAGUUUUUGUUUCUUUUAGUUUUUUGACAAUAUUCCUUGCCUAUAUCUUUUCCUGUUCUGACAAGGAAAGAUAAGGAAUUAAAAAGGUUUUCCUAUUAGGUAAGGUCAUAAGAGUCCAUACAUACCUAUGUAGCCUGUCAAAGUGGAAGAGGAGCAUUUUAAUAAAAUUUUCAGCAUCAAUUAUGCUUCCUUUAAGGAUGUGAUUGCCUUCUCCCUUAGUGGGAUUACUUAACAAACCGUAAGUGUGAUUGCCUAAAACACUGCCUAGCAACCUUAGUGUGGUUGCCUAGCAACCUUAGUGUGAUUAUCAAAAACAUUUUUUUUCACUGACAUUUUUUAAUUUUUUCAUCUCAUUCUAUAACCCAAGAAAAUUGUAUAGUGCUAGAAAUUUUAUGAUUUUGUGUCAUAAAGGUAGCAAAGAGUUGUGGAGUUAGAUUGAUGGUAAGAAAAUAGCAAACAAAAGCAAGAAUGUUGAAUGAGGAAAGGUAUACGCAGUGAGAAGGGUGAAAGAGGGGAUAACUUACCUAGUGGAAGUACAAUGUAGUCCUUGUGGCCUCUGUGAAAGUGAGAUGAAAUCUAUUGAUCAUAUCUUUCUUCAUUAUUGUAAGGCUAGGGAGUUAUGACACUUGCUAUUUUCUUUAUUUAGAGUUGCUUGGGUCCUUCCUUUUUCAGUUAGGGAGACCCUCUUAAGUUGGCAUGACAUUCUUUGUGGGAAGAAAGCAUAAGAAAAGUUUGGAGAGCCGUCUGGUUGCAUAUUUUUUGGACUUCGUGGAAAGAAUGAAACCAAAGAGCCUUUGAAAAUGUGGAGCAAUCGACUCAAUCAUUGAAGAGCUCCUUUGUUAAAAGUUUGUUGUUAUGGGUUAGGAUGUACAUGGUAGAAAAAUAUCAAUGCCUUUAAUCGAUUUUAUAGAUUGGAUGAGAUCUAGAUGAUAGAGGCAACACUUUUUUGUGUUUUCCCCUCUUCUGGGCUUUAUCCUUUGUUUUCCCUUUGUAUACAACCUGCCUGCCUUGGUAUAUAGCUCUUUCUAUUAAUAUGUAUCUUACCAUUGCUUAUAAAAAAAAAGCUUGUGAUCAUCAAUGGAAGCUAUCUAAAAGAAAGGUGAAAGGGGAAGGAAAAAAGAUUAAGGGGAAAAGAAAAGAAGGGGAAGACAAAGGCCAGUGGCCCAAUGUCUUCAAAAUAAUCUCCAAAACCCCUCUAACUAGGGUUGGAAUCACAACUUUUGUGGAGGAGAGGCUUGGAUUGCCUAGAUCUAGGGUUUGAUCUAAGUGCAUACUACGAAAAAGCAACACACCAAGUGCUUCUUGCUUUUAGAGGAAUGCACUUCCAUUUUAGGCUUUUAGAAUUAACUUAAGGGUCUGAAAUUGCAUGGCUGUUGCAUUGAGUAGACAAAUAUACCUGCUUGGGUUAUGAGACUGGUAGUUUCAUUGGAUUCUCUUGAGGGCCUAUACAUCAUUGAUUCAUUCUUUGUUCCUAUCUGGCAGUCUUGUUUGUCUACAAGUGUGAUCCUUCUGCAUCUUAUGUUAUCGAUGAUGAAUUUUUGCUUUGAUGGGUUUCCCUGAAAACUGGUAGGAGGUUUUUUUACAUACAUUUUGUUGGUAGACAUUUGAAGACGGCUCAAUUUAUUUUGCACUGGAAAACUUCUGAUGGAUUGUGCAUCUUAUAUUGUUGAGUUGUUCUUUAGGGAAGUUGUAUCUGUAUGGAGUUAGUGACCCUAGCUUGGGCUAUUUUUAGUCUAGUAGUUAUCAUCUCUAAUCUGAUGGAUAAACAGAAGUGGCCAAUCAUUGGUUGGGAUAUUUCUAGGGAUUUCCAGCUGGCAAUAGAUAUCAAAACUGAAGGUACCUGAUCUUGCCACAUGCUGAAUUUGUAAAUAUUUGAUUUAUUAGUAGGUCAAGCUGAAAUUCUCAUUUGGAACCAUCUAUUGCAAUAUCUUACCUUAGGAGUUGCAAUAAAAGAGGUGUAGUGAGAAGUAGCUGUGAGAUAAGCUUGCCAACUAAAGAAUGCAGUGUAUGAGCAAAGAAGAGAGCAAUCGUUGUUGCUAGGGUACUUGAAUAAGGUAUACUCUUGUUGAGAGACAUUUGGGGUUGGAUCUCAUGGCAAGUUUAGUUGGAGAAAGUUCACACUUUAUUGAAUUCUUGAGAAGUUAGCCUCAUUGAAUAUCUCCUAGGUUUUCAACAUUGCUUCAUUUUUCAAUUAAAAAAAAAAAUCUGCUUAUACUAGUGGAACUUAUUUAUCUUCCGCUGAGAUUGCAAAGCCCACAGAGGAUUAUAUUUGGGACAUUUGCCCGCAAAGACAUGCUGAGGAUCACAUUUUGAAUGUACCUAGGCUGAUGGAAGGUCAAGAACAGAUUGUAUGUGGAUUGAUGAGGGAGACUUGUGACAGUGAGCACCUUUUCCAACAGAUAUCAGUGGUUUACUUAACAGGCUUGACUUCUCACAUGGGGCAAUUUGAUUUAGCUUAGGAUUUUUACUUGGUCCACUUUCUAUUCUGGAUGAUUUCCUUUUAGGAACCCUUUCCAUGUAGUUACUACUUUGGAUUUUAUUUACAUUAAGUAAAGAUGUUAGUUUAUUAGUUCAAAUUACUUUAUGAAGGACACUAGGAAGAAAGGCCCUCAACAGGGCAGAGGGAUCCAAAGUUCAGUUGUCCAAUGAAUGUAAGACUUCUGAGUUGGAAUGUGAGGGGCGUGAAUGACAGGUCCAAGAGGAAAGUAAUCAAGUCAGUUAUCAGAAGCCAAAAGGUGGACCUGUUCUGUAUUCAAGAAACAAAGAUGCAAGUUAUGUCUGAAGAGGUGGUGAGGAGUCUAGGGCCGGGGAGAUAUCUUGAUUGGAAGGCUUUAAAUGCUAUGGGGACAGCAGGGGGUGUCUUGAUUUGCUGGGACAAAAGAUCUCUGGAAUUGCUGGGGGUGGAAGAGGGCCAAUUCUCCAUUUCCUGUAGAUUCAGGAAUGUGGGAGAUGGAGUAAUCUGGGUGUUCACAGGGGUUUAUGGUCCUUGUUCCAGAAAGGAUAGGGAGUGUCUAUGGGAGGAGUUCGGGGCAAUUAGAGGACUGUGGGAGGACCCAUGGUGUCUAGGAGGUGACUUUAACUCAACUCUAUACCAAGCUGAAAGGAGUAGAAAUGGGAGGAUCACUUCAGCUAUGAGGAGGUUUGCCCAGGUCAUAGAUGAGUUAGGGCUUAUUGAUAUUCCCUUGCAAGGGGGAUCCUUCACUUGGAGUGGGGGGCUCAAUAACCAAUCGUGGGCUAGGUUGGAUAGAUUCCUGGUGUCCCCCAAUUGGAUAGAUCAGUACAGUAGGGCUACUCAAAGAAGAUUGCCUCGCCCAAUCUCGGAUCAUUUUCCGAUUUUGCUUGAGGGAGGUGGCCUAAGGAGAGGUCCUUACCCCUUCAAAUUUGAAAACAUGUGGCUCAAAGCUGAGGGGUUCAAAGAGCUGAUAGAGGGGUGGUGGCAAGGGAUAGUGGUUAGAGGAAGGCCGAGCUACAGGUUAGCAGCUAAGAUGAGGGGUCUGAAACACAAUUUAAAGAUCUGGAAUAAGGAGGUUUUUGGAAGGUUAGAGAAAAACAAAGCUGAAGCCCUUCAGCAAGUGGAGCGAUGGGACGUAGUGGAAGAAGAGAGGGCUCUAUCAGAGGAAGAGUUAGGCCACAAAAAAACAACUAAGGAGAAUUAUUCAAAAUGGGUGUCGAUGGAAGAAGUGCAUUGGAGACAGCUAUCAAGGGAAAUAUGGCUUAGGGAAGGGGAUAGGAACACGGGAUUCUUUCACCGUAUGGCUAAUGCCCACAGGAGAGUCAAUAAUCUGAUCAAAAUUAAGAUUAAUGGGGUGAGGCUUACAGAAGAUCAAGAUGUGAGGGAUGGAAUAGUAAAUGCUUACCAGCAUCUUCUUUCGGAAAACUCGGAUUGGAAGGCGGAUAUAGGGGGUCUUGUGCUGAAGCAGAUCAGCCUAUCAGAAGCGGAUGCUCUUGAGCUCCCUUUCACUGAGGCUGAGAUCUAUGCUGCAUUAAUGGGGAUGAAUGGGGACAAGGCCCCGGGUCCGGAUGGUUUCACUGUAGCAUUUUGGCAAAAUUGUUGGGAGAUUGUCAAGGAGGAUGUCUUGGAUAUGUUCAAAGAAUUCUAUGAUCAGAAUUCUUUCAUCAAGAGCCUAAAUCAUACAUUUUUGGUCUUGAUUCCGAAGAAAGGGGGGGCAGAGGACUUGGGGGACUACAGGCCAAUCAGUUUGCUUGGGGGUCUUUAUAAAUUAUUGGCUAAGGUGCUGGCCAAUAGGCUCAAAAAAAUCAUAGAUAAGGUGAUUUCUCCUGACCAGAACGCCUUCAUAAAAGGGAGACAGAUUCUUGACGGUUCCCUAAUAGCAAAUGAGGUAAUAGACUCUUGGCAAAAAAGGGGAGAGAAAGGCCUAAUCUGUAAGUUGGACAUUGAGAAGGCGUUUGAUAAUAUCAAUUGGCAAUUUCUAUUAAAGGUUUUGCAUAAGAUGGGCUUCGGAUCAAAAUGGAUAGGAUGGAUGUGGAGCUGUAUUUCUACCAUCAAAUAUUCAAUGCUGGUGAAUGGAGUUCCAGCUGGUUUCUUUUCAAGUUCUAAAGGUCUCAGGCAAGGGGAUCCCCUAUCCCCCUACCUAUUUAUCAUGGGAAUGGAAGUCCUUAGUGCGUUAAUAUCGAGGGCCGUUGAAGGGGGGUUCAUUUAUGGCUGUAGGAUAUGGAAAGGAAGAGGGCAGCCCGUAAACAUAACUCAUCUCCUGUUUGCGGAUGAUACAAUUGUCUUUUGUGAGGCAAAGAAAGAGUCCCUGUUGUACUUGAGCUGGAUCCUAUUAUGGUUCGAGGCCGCCUCAGGUUUAAAAAUUAACUUGGAGAAAAGCAUGGUCAUUCCGGUAGGGGAGGUGGAAGGGGCGCUUGAUAUGGCUGCGGAAAUUGGGUGUAAGGUGGGACAACUGCCCACUGUUUAUUUGGGGCUGCCCCUUGGGGCGCCUAAUAGGGCCUCCUCCGUUUGGGAUGGGGUGGAGGAGAAAAUGAGGAGGAAGCUUGCUCUUUGGAAGCGUCAUUUUUUGUCCAAAGGAGGGAGAAUUACUCUCAUUAAGAGCACGCUGGCCAGCAUUCCUUUGUAUCAAAUGUCACUUUUCCGCAUGCCUAAAUCAGUGGCAAGAAGACUAGAAAAGCUUCAAAGGAAUUUUUUGUGGGGAGGAGCCAAUGGAGGGAAUAAGGCUCAUCUAAUCAAGUGGGAGGUUGUAUGUACGGAUAAAAAGAAGGGAGGGUUGGGGUUAAGAAAGUUAAUUUGGUUAAACAAAGCUCUCCUUGGCAAAUGGAUUUGGAGGUUCGCGCGGGCUAAGGAGGAGCUGUGGAAAAAAGUGCUUGAGGCUAAGUAUGGGAAAGAGGAGUUUGGGUGGAGAACAAAGAAGGCAAAUGGGGUGUUUGGGGUUGGUGUGUGGAAGGAAAUUCUGAAGGAGUCCACUUGGUGUUGGGAUAACAUGGUAUUCAAGGUGGGAAAAGGCAAUAAAGUAAGGUUUUGGAUUGAUCCUUGGUGUGGAAACAACGUGCUGUCCGAAGCUUUCCCGGACCUCUUCUCCAUGGCUGUCCAAAGAAACGCCACUGUGGAGGAUUAUUGGGAUCAGAAUCUGAGUCAAGGAGGGUGGAGCUUAAGACUAUUGAGAGACUUCAAUGAUUGGGAAUUGGGGUUGGUGGACAAUAUGUUAGUUGAGUUGAGGAACUAUAGAGUAUCUAUGGAGGAAGAUUCGGUUUUUUGGAGGGGAGGAGCGGACGGGCUGUUUAAAGUUAAGGAAGCUUAUAGGGUGUUGAUUAAUGCUGAUGAAGCGGCCUUCCCCCAUAGCAAUGUUUGGGUGGCCAAAGUUCCAACAAAAAUUAUUUUCUUUGCUUGGGAAGCUACUUGGGGGAAGGUUCUUACAUUGGAUAGAUUGCAGAGAAGAGGAUGGCAUCUUCCUAAUCGGUGCUUCUUGUGUGGAUGUGAAGAGGAAACUAUCAAUCAUAUUCUUAUUCAUUGUACGGUGGCAAAAGGUUUAUGGGAUAUUAUCCUUGCAUUGUGUGGUGUACAGUGGGUCUUUCCUAAUUCUGUAAAGGAGGUUCUUAGUAGUUGGAAAGGCUCUUUUGUGGGGAGAAAAAGAAAGAAAGUGUGGAAGUCCAUCCCGCUUUUCAUUUUUUGGACAAUUUGGAAGGAGAGGAAUAGGCUCGCCUUUAAAGGGGGUGUGUUAGCCUUUCAGAAAUUAAAGACUUCGUUUGUGUAUAAUUUUUGGGGUUGGGCUAAAGUGUACAUUGAUAUGGAGUCGAAUUCCCUUAUAGGUUUCUUGGAGUGGAUAGCUUCCAAGUAGGGGUUGGGUUCUUUUGUUUUUUUGGUUAAGGGUUUGUAGCCUUGUAUACUCCCUGUAUGCUCUUUGGCUUUUUGCCUUCGUUAAUAUAAUCGCUUACUUAUCAAAAAAAAAAAUUACUUUAUGAUGUGCACAAAGUGCAUGUUAUCAGCUAAAUAUUUAGAUCACCAGCAUGACUUCACUGCAAGGUUUUUCCUUUUCUGUCUCUGUGCCUAAUGAGAGAUGGUGUGACCUAUCCCAGCUCAAACCCCAGGCAGGGUAGAAAUCCAAUUACCAUCCCUAUCAGUACAUGGUGGGUAGGUCGAGUCAGGAUAUGGGUAAAAGAUCUGCACAAAUUGGGUGCCCUACAAGCUGUUUAUUUUGAAAGAAAAUAAAAUCUGUUGGUUUGGGGAAAAAAAUAAAGAAAAACAAGAAAGAAGAAAACUAAAAGGAAUACUAAGUGCCCGUUUAGAUUACACUUUCUAAUUUUUAUUUUUAAAAACAAAAAAUAGUAGUAAGUUGUAUAUAAAAUGUAAGAGAUCUUAUAUAAAAUGUAUGAAUUUAUCUUAUAUUAUUAAAAAUCACUUUUAAAAAUUUUAAAAUUUGAGGUAGUAAAAUUUUUUUAAUACUUCAUUUUUUUAAACAAUUUUUUAAAACCAUUAUUUUUUUAAGAUAAGUCUCUAAGAGUUCUUACAUAUAUUUUUUUUUUUGAUAGACAAUCACAGAAAAAAAAAAGGCAAAAAAAUAAUAAUAAAAAAAUAAAAUAAAUUGAGUAGAAAGACGAAAAAAAGAAAUUGAGUAUAUCCAAAUGACGAAAAAAACCAUAAUCUUCAUGUAAAUCCCAUUAACCCAAUCAAAUUGAGUACAAAGAUAUUAGAUAUUUAAAAAACUCAAAUGGGCUCAAUGAAUGAUUUCCAAAAAGAUUGAAGAUGAAAUAAAAUAGGGAAAAAAUCUCACAAAAGAAAAGCACAAUUCCACUGUGGGAAUUUGGAAAGUACUUGCAAAAAGAUCGAUUAUGAAAUAAACUGAAAACACCUAAAAACCUCGCUCCAAAUUUUUCCAACAAAACUUGUCUUAGAAAGGGGAAAAAUAGAGAAGAAAUUCACAGUCCAAUCAAUCCAAACAAAUAAUAAUAAUAAAAAGAGAUCAAACAAUGUUACACUGGGUUUGAGUGAACAAAAUAAAUAAAGAAAUAUAUAAA